GUGAAUCAUCGAAUCUUUGAACGCACCUUGCGCCUUUUGGUAUUCCGAAAGGCAUGCCUGUUUGAGUGUCAUGUAGACUCAACUCUCGAGAGGUUUCUUGCGAGUUGGAUUUGGGUGUUGCCAUUUGGCUCGCCUUAAAAGUGUUAGUGGUUUAAGCACUUGAUCGGACGUGAUAAGUUUCGUCCGGCCGUGUGUCGUCGACCGCUCCUAAACCGCCUUGCGGCGCUCUUUGACUCUGACCUCAAAUCAGGUAGGACUACCCGCUGAACUUAAGCAUAUCAAUAAGCGGAGGA
RNAcentral lists this unclassified non-coding RNA (293 nucleotides) under Basidiomycota sp. RNAcentral describes it as "partial contains 5.8S ribosomal RNA, internal transcribed spacer 2, and large subunit ribosomal RNA". The stretch from base 1 to 71 matches the Rfam family "5.8S ribosomal RNA", at positions 84 to 154 of the family's 154-position model. The record is from RNAcentral. Lineage: Eukaryota; Fungi; Basidiomycota.